UACGUAGGGGGCGAGCGUUGUCCGGAAUUAUUGGGCGUAAAGAGCUCGUAGGCGGCUUGUCGCGUCGUCCGUGAAAACUUGGGGCUCAACCCCAAGCUUGCGGUCGAUACGGGCAGGCUAGAGUUCGGUAGGGGAGACUGGAAUUCCUGGUGUAGCGGUGAAAUGCGCAGAUAUCAGGAGGAACACCGGUGGCGAAGGCGGGUCUCUGGGCCGAUACUGACGCUGAGGAGCGAAAGCGUGGGGAGCGAACAGG
Molecule: ribosomal RNA, 253 nt
Filed under: uncultured bacterium
Lineage: Bacteria
Description: partial 16S ribosomal RNA
Rfam family: Bacterial small subunit ribosomal RNA
Source: RNAcentral